This 253-nucleotide ribosomal RNA is filed under the name uncultured bacterium. Its description in RNAcentral is "partial 16S ribosomal RNA". It matches the Rfam family "Bacterial small subunit ribosomal RNA", at positions 524 to 776 of the family's 1533-position model. The record is from RNAcentral.
GACAGAGGGUGCAAACGUUGUUCGGAAUUACUGGGCGUAAAGCGCGUGUAGGCGGCUAAGUAAGUCGGGCGUGAAAUCCCACGGCUCAACCGUGGAAGUGCACUCGAAACUGCAUAGCUAGAGUCCUGGAGAGGAAGGUGGAAUGCUUGGUGUAGAGGUGAAAUUCGUAGAUAUCAAGCGGAACACCGGUGGCGAAGGCGGCCUUCUGGACAGUGACCGACGCUGAGACGCGAAAGCGUGGGGAGCAAACAGG